GAUGAACGCUGGCGGCGUGCCUAAUACAUGCAAGCCGAGCGAACGGACGAGAAGCUUGCUUCUCUGAUGUUAGCGGCGGAAGGGUGAGUAACACGUGGAUAACCUACCUAUAAGACUGGGAUAACUUCGGGAAACCGGAGCUAAUACCGGAUGAUAUUUUGAACCGCAUGGUUCAAAAGUGAAAGACGGUCUUGCUGUCACUUAUAGAUGGAUCCGCGCUGCAUUAGCUAGUUGGUAAGGUAACGGCUUACCAAGGCAACGAUGCAUAGCCGACCUGAGAGGGUGAUCGGCCACACUGGAACUGAGACACGGUCCAGACUCCUACGGGAGGCAGCAGUAGGGAAUCUUCCGCAAUGGGCGAAAGCCUGACGGAGCAACGCCGCGUGAGUGAUGAAGGUCUUCGGAUCGUAAAACUCUGUUAUUAGGGAAGAACAUAUGUGUAAGUAACUGUGCACAUCUUGACGGUACCUAAUCAGAAAGCCACGGCUAACUACGUG
Molecule: ribosomal RNA, 497 nt
Filed under: uncultured bacterium
Lineage: Bacteria
Description: partial 16S ribosomal RNA
Rfam family: Bacterial small subunit ribosomal RNA
Source: RNAcentral